ACUCCUACGGGAGGCAGCAGUGGGGAAUAUUGCACAAUGGGCGCAAGCCUGAUGCAGCCAUGCCGCGUGUGUGAAGAAGGCCUUCGGGUUGUAAAGCACUUUCAGUUGUGAGGAAGGUGGUGUCGUUAAUAGCGGCAUCAUUUGACGUUAGCAACAGAAGAAGCACCGGCUAACUCCGUGCCAGCAGCCGCGGUAAUACGGAGGGUGCGAGCGUUAAUCGGAAUUACUGGGCGUAAAGCGCAUGCAGGUGGUUUGUUAAGUCAGAUGUGAAAGCCCGGGGCUCAACCUCGGAACUGCAUUUGAAACUGGCAGACUAGAGUACUGUAGAGGGGGGUAGAAUUUCAGGUGUAGCGGUGAAAUGCGUAGAGAUCUGAAGGAAUACCGGUGGCGAAGGCGGCCCCCUGGACAGAUACUGACACUCAGAUGCGAAAG
This 432-nucleotide ribosomal RNA is filed under the name uncultured bacterium. RNAcentral's name for it is "bacterial SSU rRNA". It matches the Rfam family "Bacterial small subunit ribosomal RNA", at positions 335 to 759 of the family's 1533-position model. The record is from RNAcentral.